GAGAUAAAAGGUGCCUGUACCGCAAACCGACACAGGUAGGCGAGGAGAGAAUCCUAAGGUGUGCGAGAGAACUCUGGUUAAGGAACUCGGCAAAAUGACCCCGUAACUUCGGGAGAAGGGGUGCUUUCUUAACGGAAAGCCGCAGUGAAUAGGCCCAAGCGACUGUUUAGCAAAAACACAGCUCUCUGCGAAGCCGUAAGGCGAAGUAUAGGGGGUGACACCUGCCCGGUGCUGGAAGGUUAAGGAGAGGGGUUAGCGUAAGCGAAGCUCUGAACUGAAGCCCCAGUAAACGGCGGCCGUAACUAUAACGGUCCUAAGGUAGCGAAAUUCCUUGUCGGGUAAGUUCCGACCCGCACGAAAGGUGUAACGAUUUGGGCACUGUCUCAACCAGAGACUCGGUGAAAUUAUAGUACCUGUGAAGAUGCAGGUUACCCGCGACAGGACGGAAAGACCCCGUGGAGCUUUACUGUAGCCUGAUAUUGAAUUUUGGUACAGU
RNAcentral lists this ribosomal RNA (496 nucleotides) under Bacillus thuringiensis serovar mexicanensis. Its description in RNAcentral is "bacterial LSU rRNA". It matches the Rfam family "Bacterial large subunit ribosomal RNA", at positions 1628 to 2133 of the family's 2925-position model. Lineage: Bacteria; Bacillati; Bacillota; Bacilli; Caryophanales; Bacillaceae. The record is from RNAcentral.